Molecule: ribosomal RNA, 253 nt
Filed under: uncultured bacterium
Lineage: Bacteria
Description: partial 16S ribosomal RNA
Rfam family: Bacterial small subunit ribosomal RNA
Source: RNAcentral
UACGGAGGGUGCAAGCGUUGUUCGGAAUCAUUGGGCGUAAAGCGCGUGUAGGCGGCUUGGCAAGUCAGUUGUGAAAGCCCGGGGCCCAACCCCGGAACUGCAUCUGAAACUGCUUGGCUCGAGUCCCGGAGAGGAAGGCAGAAUUCCCGGUGUAGGGGUGAAAUCCGUAGAUAUCGGGAGGAAUACCAGCGGCGAAGGCGGCCUUCUGGACGGUGACUGACGCUGAGACGCGAAAGCGUGGGUAGCAAACAGG